UCGGUGGCGCAGGGGAGAGAGGGUUGACAAUUGAAGGAAACUUCAUCAAGUUCACUGCCAUAGGUGUUUAUUUGGAAGAUAUAGCAGUGGCUUCACUAGCUGCCAAAUGGAAGGGUAAAACCUCUCAAGAGUUACUAGAUACCCUUGACUUUUACAGAGACAUCAUCUCAGGUAUGUUAUACAUCAGCUUCGAUUAUUCUGAACUAACUUAUUAAUCACUUAAGUUGCUAUAUAGUGUAUGUAUGUAUGUAUGUAUGUAUAUAGUUAAUUGCAAGUUGAUUGAUUGAUAAAUUGAUAAUGUUUUAGGUCCCUUUGAAAAGUUAAUUAGAGGGUCAAAGAUUAGGGAAUUGAGUGGUCCUGAGUACUCAAGGAAGGUUAUGGAGAACUGUGUGGCACACUUGAAAUCAGUUGGAACUUAUGGAGAUGCAGAAGCUGAAGCUAUGCAAAAAUUUGCUGAAGCUUUCAAGCCUAUUAAUUUUCCACCUGGUGCCUCUGUUUUCUACAGGCAAUCACCUGAUGGAAUAUUAGGGGUUAGUUAUAAUGCCAAUUAAUUCUGUUUCUUAACUAUUUUAAUUGAGGUUUACUGUUAAUUAAUUAAGAAAAUUAAGCCUUCCACUAAUACUAGUAUAUUAAAAACAUAUGUUGCAGCUUAGUUUCUCUCCUGAUACAAGUAUACCUGAAAAGGAGGCUGCACUUAUUGAGAACAAGGCAGUUUCAUCAGCAGUGUUGGAGACUAUGAUCGGCGAGCACGCUGUUUCCCCUGAUCUUAAGCGCUGUUUGGCUGCAAGAUUACCGGCGUUGUUGAACGAGGGUGCUUUCAAGAUUGGAAACUGAUCGAUCAUUAUACUCACUCCUAUAUCACUACAUUUCCAAAAGCUUGCAGCACAAGAAUGAGACCAUGUCACUUUUUUUAAGUCUAAACGUUUAAUUUUUUGUAUAUCUAUUUACCUUCUUAUUAGUAUCAAUAAUAUGAAAUGAAAGAUCUUCAUCAAUAAAAGUGAUUUGUUUUGUUUGUUCAAAUCAGAGUGAUAAAAUGUUGAUUUCAAUUCAUUCGAGUUGUUUAUUUCAUUUUCUUUGGAAACAGAGUAGGUUGUUAAAAUCAAUUUUGAAUUUCUUCCUUGAUCCUUUCUUCUUGUACUCUGUCUUUACAAACAAUGCUUCAUCGUUUCCUUAUUCCUUUGCCUCAAAUUUAUUUUUCAGCUCCUUUGAAAUAGUAACUUAGUGAACAUUAUUAAGCAAUAGGGGAUGUAGGUGAACUAAGGGGCGUUGAAGGAGAUUUAAGCCGGAGGUCUCAGAUUCGAUUCUCAGAAACUAACAUUUCUCCCUCCCACUUUAACAAUUUGCUAACAACUAACAUUUGCCUAUAAAAAUAAAAUAAAAUCAAGAGAUAAGGAUUCCUUGCCAUAAACCAAUGUGUCAAAAAGAUUUUCUUAAGAACUUGGUAAAGAAUGAACUUGUAAAAGAGCUUGAUCUUAAUCUUCCAUACUCACAUCAAUGUUCUCAAGAUAAAAAAUGCUCUUGUUGAACUCAUCAAUCAAUGUGUUCUUCAACUGUUUUUCCUACUUGCAUAUUGAAAGUGUAGAAUCUUUGCUUCAAAUAAAUUUUGUUGGCGAAAGAUUUCACGUAAUGAUUUUUCAAUUUAAGCAAAAUUGUUGUAACAAGUUUUUCUUUUGAAACUUACCUCAUUGGCUUGUCACCCGAACUCAAAAUUAGAGCAUGAUGAGCUUUCUCCAUGAUUUCUUUUUUAUUCAAAUAAGAAAAUGUAGUUGGUAAAUUCUUUUCUCCAAGUAAAACACCUGCUAAACCUUUAUGAACUAUAUGAGUUUCGUCUUGAGUCGCCAUAGACGAAAAUCAUUCUUGCCAUUGAACUUCUCUAGAUUGAACUUAGUUGUUGUCAUUUCCCCAAGAAGUAGGGGUGUUCGCGGUCCAUAUAUUGAACUGAACCAGAUUAAUAGAUUGGUUUAGUUUUUAAAAACAACUUUAAUAAAAAUUGGUUAGUUUCUCAAACUAGUUGCAGUUCAGUUCUGAACCAGUUUAAAACCGGUUUAUAGUUUUAAAUCGGUUUAGUUUAUUUGAACCAGUUUUAAACCGGUUCUGCUAUUAAAACUAUAUUAUUAGUGAAUGUUGAGUUCCUUGAAUUCCCAGCGACGGUGACACCUCCGGAUUCCACCAAGACCUAUUUCCUUGGUGGCGCAGGUUCUUAAAACAACAGACAUUAUUGCUUUCCUUGUUUGUGUUUUCAUUAUGGAGUAUUUUUGUUUUUCUUCAUAAACAAUUAAUUAAUUAAUAAGUUUUUCAUUCAUUCAAAAUUAAUUAUUACUACUAAUAAGUUUCCAUGCAUUGAGUUGUAUGUUUAGAAUAAUAUGAUUGACUGUUUUCGUUAUAUAGAUCUAAUCUAAAAAUAUCAAUACCUUUAUAAUGUUUUUCUUUACAAGCCUUAUUAAUAUAUUAUUAAGGAUAAUGUUAAGUAUUCACGUAUAAUAAAACUAGCAUUAAAAAAAAAAAUGUUAUUUUCAAUAUGAUUAUUUAUUUUUGUUUCUUUAUAAAUGAUCUAAAGACAAUGAUUAAGAUGUCCAUGUUAUUGAUAAUGAGGAGUCAUAUCCAGAAUGAACUAGUUCCAAACUAAAUAAAAAAAUUAUUAAUUUCUUGAUUCCAAUACUCCCUAUAAAAUAGGGGUGUUCAUUGGUUAAGACAACAUAUUCACCCAAAACUAAACUGACUCGCGAGCACUCUAUUGAUCAUAGAAGGCGUUUUAGCCUAAUAAAUGGGCGGUCUAGCUACUGUUUCUACUCACAUCACAUGGACUUCCUUUUCUAAAACAAAUUUUCGAAGCGUUGAGGAUAAAAAAAGAAGCAAAGUUAUAAAGUGAUAAUGAAGUCAAAAAAGGGAUUCAUAUAAAUUUAUCAUCUUGUUUUUUUAUAGUAGAUCGAAGUUUCUUUUACUUAAUUAAUUAAACAAUCUAAAUUUAAAUACUAUAUAGACUUGUAGUUUGUCCUAUUAUUUGGAGCACAACUAGUAGAUGUAUGACAGAUAAGAGUCUUGGGUCUAACAUUUUUUUAUGUAAACAGACUCGAGCAAUCCAAAGGGAUUCUUUGACUAAAAAGUGAUGACUAUCUAUUGCUAAGUGAUUUACACGCUGAGUUAUGAUUUUUUUUAUGGUAUAUGUCAAUUAUACAUGUGUUCUUGACUUCUUGAUGGAGUAUUUGUGAAGGCCACGGGAAUGCAGUGACAGCACUUGCCUCAAAGUGGAAGGGUAGGACUGCAGCUGAGUUGUUGGAGUCCCUUGACUUCUACAGAGACAUCAUCAAAGGUAGGUAGUUGUAGCUCACACCUAGUCAAUCCUUUGAAUUUUCUUCAAGGAUAACGUGAAUGUCAUUUUCUAUAUUCUUGUUUUAUGAGGCACUCAUUUUCUAACCUUAGAAUAUGAAUUGUUAUCUUUAUUAUAAUAUAUGGUUUAAUAGCAGUUUUAACCCCUCAAGUUUUAAGAAGUUGCGAUUUUAGCUCCUUAAGAAAAAUAACAACAAAACCGUCCCCUAAGUUUUGAUUUUCGCCCCCUAUGCCAAUUUUGACUCGGUCAACGCCCCUAAGUUUUGACUCUGUGACAGUUUUGGUCCCCUAGGAGUUUAUUUCUAUAUACUAGUUUAUUAUUUGUGAGUGAAAACAUAUGAAUUUAUCAUUAAAAAGGAGUUUUAUUUCUAUAUACUAGUGUAAUUUUAUUUUACACAUACAUCCAAUCCAAUGUUAUAUUACCACAUCAUUUAAUGAAUAUGAUAAUUCAUAUGUUUUCACUCACAUGAUGUCUACCCGAAAAAAAACUCAUAACAUGAUGUGACAAUACAACAUUAAAUUUAUUUGUAAAAUAAUUUUAUGUUGAUAGUGCAUAUAAAUUAAAUUCUUUAAAAAAAUAGUGGAGUUAACCCGAUUUUUACCAAACAUAAAAUCUGAUAAUAUUUCGGUCUUAAUUUUAAUAUAUAAGAAAAAUGUCAAAUUAAAUUGAGAGUUAAAUAAAAUCUAAUCAAUAAUUAUUUUGAUCAUGAUUUAAACAUGUGGUUUUCUGAAUAAUCCAUCUUUAACCAAAGCUUAACCGAAACUCGUUAACCACUUGAUUAUUAUAUUUGUUUGUGAUCAUAAAAAGUUACGAUCAACUUUGUAUUGAAUGAUUGAAUAAUGAAAUAUGACUCCUAUUAUAUUAUAGGUCCCUUUGAGAAAUUGAUUCGAGGGGGAAAGUUAAAAACUUUGGACGGUCGUGAAUAUGUGAGGAAGGUGUCAGAAAAUUGUAUUGCUUAUAUGAAAUCUGAUGGAACAUAAUUUAGAGAAGCCUUCAAGGAUCAAAAUUUUCCAACUGGCGCUAGUGUUUUCUACAAACAAUCACCAACUGGAACAUUAGGGGUUAGUAUAAUUUACAUGAGCACAUAAAAUUUAAAAGUCUAAUAUCUCAACAAUAUGUGCACUAAUUUGAUUUUUAUUCUAUAAACAAAUUAAUCACAGCUUCGUUUCUCCAAAGAAGAGACUAUGAUUGGAGAAAUUUCUGUUUCCCCUGCUUUGAAAGAGAGUUUGGCUACAAGAUUUUAUGAUCUUAUGAAGAUUAACAAUUUCAACAUGGGAAAUUAACUGAUGAGUGAAAGCUGUGUUCAAGGGUGGUGCCAAAGAAAAAAUGAUAUAAAAUGUAAUAAACAUAUGUUUGUCAUUAAUAAUGUUCUAUACUCUCUCUCUCUCUCUCUCUCAUAUUAUUGUUUUACUAUAAGCCAAGAUAUAAGGUGAGGACGGCUGACAAUGCCAACUCAUUUUUGUCCUGUGUAAUAUUAAUUAAUAUAAGAUGUUUCUUUAUUGAAUCCUGAUUGGUUAAUGUUUUUAUUUAAAGUUGAACAAUAUUAUGAUUAAAAAAAAACCAGAAGUUCAAAAUCAUUUGGUUGGUACUUACUUCUAUCAUUUUAGUGUAUUGUCCUUAACGUGCACCUCAAGUUGUUGAGCUAGUGUGUAUCCAAAUGAGAUUUAAAAUUCAAAUUUUGACUACUAUCUAACAUUACAUACUAGCAAGUAUAAUCCGUCAAAAAAAGAGGUAGCAACUAAUAUAAGAAUAAUUUUUAGGUGGAAACAAAGAUUUCAAAGACAUUAUUUGAUCACACAAUCAACAAAAUUUUGACAGCACCAGUUGUUACUAUUGAGGUCAAACAAAAAUAGAUUCCCUCCUUUUACAGGCAUGCAAAGAAAACUGAAUUUGUUGAAAGGUUCAAUUCAAACUGUGACGGGUGCAGUCUGUGUUGUUUGGUGGGUAGCUGAAGGAAUUGGAAAUAGGGUUUUGCAUCUUAAAUCAUACUCUCAAUAGGUAGGUGUGUUUAAUGCAAAUUGAUUCAAAAUAUUGAAAAUCCCACACAACUAAUUUAGUUCUUGCAUUUUAACCCACUUAUCAAAUUAGUUGAUAAUAUUGAAUAAUCAAAAACAAUAAAAUUUCAAAAAAUCCUCCUAAUAAAACUUCAGUUUCAACUUCAUAAAUUAUUCAUUUUUGUAAUCUAAUUGGUGAAAUAUAAAUAAUUAAUACACUUAGAUGAUUCUACAUCAUCAUCAAGUUGUAUGUCAUAUACAAUUAGGUGACAUUAACGUGGUUUUCAAAACUAAACGACAAGAAUAAAAAUUAAAGAUUGUAUAUUUGUAAGGGUUGGUGUUUUUUUACGUAUGCUAGACCAAACAUAUCUUUUAACAUCCUUUUAAAAAAAAAAAAUCUUUUAACAUGUUUAAUAUUAUUAUUAGAGAAGGCCCAUGAAUUCGAUUUUUAUUGUUUUGGGUGUAAAAAAAAGUAUGGAUAAUGUUAUUUGGUGAGAGAUACAUACAACAAAGUAUGUAGUAGAUCCUACUAUUAAGUGGAUCUCACCGCUAUUAAUUAUUUUUAAACUUAUUUGUAUCUUUAUCUCUUCAAUAGAACAAAUGGAGAGACCAAUAAAUAAAUAUAAUCCUUCUUUCUUUCUUUCAAAAAUAGAGAAAAUUCGAAGGGUAAUGUUUAAUCUCUCAUCAUUCAAUAUGAGAAAAAACAUAUUAAAAAAUAUUGACUCCAAUUUUUUCGUCCAUAUCCUCUAGUGGAAGGUUCAUAUCACAUUACACAAGUAGUAUUUUUUUUUUGAAAGGACAUAAUAUUUUAUAGGUUUUUUUUAGAUUACCUUUGAAAAAUGGUGGGUAAUUUACCCACCAACCAAUCAUAAUGAACAAUUUAUUGGUGGGGUCAAGAUAAUUUAUGAAUACCACCUAAAAAGGUGAAAUGUUCAUUGAUUGGAGUAAAUUACCCACCAAUCUUCCAUGGGUACCCUAGUUGUCACCAAAUAUUAUCUUAUCUAUACGCUUAUGCAUUAUUGAUUUCAUUGAAUAUAUUUAUUGUCAUAUGUCUCACAUUAUCAAAAAAGUUACAUAUUUAAUCAGGCAUAUGUUUCUCACCCCCUAAAUAUACAUGAUUGAAAUUGAAAUGCCUCACAUAUAAGCACUUCUCACUCAGGGUCAAAUCUUAUUUAUAGUGAUAAAAAAACACUGAUAGAUCAAACAGAAAGUUGUAUAGGUAUGGCGACAGCAGCACCCACAAUCACCGGAGUGAAGGUGGAGAAUAUUGAAUUUCCGGCAGUGGUGACACCUCCUGCCUCCCCCAAGUCCUAUUUCCUCGGUGGUGCAGGUAUUUCUUAUUUUAUAGUGAUAAUAACAACUGAAUAUAAUUCCUUAUGUUGUUUUCACUACUAGAACUAGAAGGUUCAAACAUCUAUCACUUAUGUCACAUUAUAUUGUUUUUUAUCGCAAUUUUGCUGCUGAAAAUGAAAAUCAAGGAGAAUAAAUUGGUUUCAAAUUUUAAAUUUAUGAGAUUCACUUAGUUUUAUCUCUGUGAUCGAAGCAUUUUGAAUUUUUUUUAUUGGUAAUGGGAUGUAGGGGUGAGGGGGUUAGAUAUUGAUGGAGAAUUUGUGAAGUUCACUGGAAUAGGAAUUUAUUUGGAAGAAAAAGCUGUAGCAUCACUCACUCCUAAGUGGAAAGGCAAAACUCCAUCUCAGCUCUUUGAAUCCCUUGAAUUCUAUCGAGAUAUCAUCAAAGGUAGCAACAUACUACUCCAUAAUGAUCAUAUGCCCCUAAUCAUCUGUUUUUCUUUGUUCCAAAAUAUAACUAAUCAUGUUUUUCUAUUUUUUUUAACAGCAAAAACAUGUUUUUCUAUUUGUACUUCCAGAAACUAUACUUCUAUUAGUACUUGCACAUACUAUUGAAUGGAGUAGUUUUUUUAGCAAUGAAUUAUAGUUAGUAGCAUGUGUGUAAAUGUAUAUACUCACUUAUUUAUGGGUGUUUUUAGGUCCCUUUGAGAAAUUUAUUCGAAGUACAAAGGUGAGAACACUAGAAGGUAGUGAAUAUGUGAGAAAGGUGUCAGAAAAUUGCAUUGCCCAUAUGAAAUCUGAAGGAACAUAUGGCGAUGCAGAAGAAAAAGCCAUUCAAGAAUUUAGAGAAGCUUUUAAGGAUCAAUUUUUUCCACCAGGAACUGCUGCUUUCUACAGACAAUCACCAAAUGGAGCAUUAGGGGUUAGUGUCAUUAAUAUUACCUAUUGCAUGUAUCUAAAUAUCCAUUUUAAUCAACACAUUUUGAUAUUUCUUUUUCUACAAAUUAAUCACACAGCUUAGAUUCUCCAAAGAUGAGACAAUACCUGAACAUGAGUAUGCUGUUAUAAACAACAAGCCGCUUUCGGAAGCAGUGUUGGAGACCAUGAUUGGAGAAAUCCCUGUUUCCCCUGCUUUGAAAGAGAGUUUGGCUACAAGAUUUUAUGAGUUUCUGAAGAUUGACAACUUCAACAUUCGAAACUGAUAUUUGAAAAAUGAAAACUGUUAUCUAUAAUCUUAAAGGCGAGGGGCAUGAUCUUUCAAUGCAUUAUGAUGCAAUAAACGAAUAAUCCAAGUGACAUAUCUAUAAGUCACAUGAUAAUGUUACUUUAUUUUUGAAUUUGCUAUCACAAGUCACAACAGUUUGUGGACUUGGUACGUCAUUAUUUGAAAUGAAUGGCUUAGUUACCUGGUUGUUUUUUAAUCUGUUUGUGCAUCAUUUAUGAAAAAAAGUUAUUAUUAUUUAUUUUAUUUUAUUUAGCAGAAAUUAAAAUUAAGGAUAUCAUAUGCAAAAUGCAAUGAGCAAUCAUAAAAUUAAGAAGACUAAAAGGAAGGAAGAGAUCACAUUCAACAUAUUAUGCUCAUUGUGGCUGCCCAUUCUGUGAUGUGAUAUAUAUUCUCUCAUUUUAAGAUAUAAGCUUGAAACUUAAUUUAUGUUUUACUUUUUCCUUCUUUUGUUUAUUGUCUUGUCACUUUGUAGUUCUACCAAAAAGAAAAACUUUACGAAGACUAAAAGUAAACGACAACAGAUGUUUUUUUUUUACUUACACUAAAAUUAAAAAAAUGGUAAACUAAGUAAGUAAUUAAGCUCAAGUGAUUUACAAGUUUUAUCAAUGACAAAUUGUUCGAAAGAAUUCAAAUUUGAUUCAUAGGUAAAACAAUUUUUGGUCAGAUUAUUAUUACUUUACGGCCGAAUUCCAAAUUAUCAGUGCUCAUUUCUCCUGGGAAUUUCAGAAUUAACCAAAAAAAAAAAAAAAACACUAAAAAGUGGUAACAUGUUAUUGUAACAUGUAUAAUAUUAGAGAGAUGAGCCAUAAAUUCUACUUUCAUUGUUUUGAGCAGCCCCAAAAUGUUGACUCCAGCUGGAUCACCAGUUUUAUUAAGGUAAUGUGGGCCACUAAUGCACGAGUCAAUCAAAUUUGUACAACUCAUUUAUUUUGUCUAAAAUACCAACGAUUAAGGUGUUCGUUUGAACUAAUUUUGAUAUAAAAAUUUAUCACAUUUAAAGAUAAAUUUCUUUUUAGUUUGAUUUAAUUUUAUAUGAUUAAUUUGAAAAAUCCGAUCAAAUUUAUUGCAGUUUAGUUUGGAUUGGUAUUUGAAUAUCGAAAUUACUAAAUUGUAAUUUUUAUUAAUUUUAAAAUUAUAAAGACACCACAAAUUAAUAGGUUUGAUGAAACUAAUAUACUAAACAUUAAUAUAUAUUAGUAUAAAAUAACAAUGAUUGAUUGUGUAUGAAAUUAUAACUCAAAUAAAUAAUUCAUAUAGAGUUGCGUCUUAAAAUAUUGACUCCAAUUUCUUCAAGUCAUAGAGAGAUGAUAAUUCCCUUUAUUAUAUUAUUUUUAAGGGAAUCUCAUACUAUUUUUUUUUUGUCAAUUUCCUUUAUUAUUUUUAUGGGAAUCUAAUACUAUUAUUUUUUUUGUCAAGUAGUCUUAGAGUUCGCACAUUUUAAAUAUGGAGAAGUGAGGUGUUUGAGAUUUGCAUCCCGGUCCAAACAUGAUCUAUGCAAUAUCUCUACCAACUAAGUUAAGCUUGCGGAAACCUUAUCCUAUUUUAUAUUAUCUGAUAUAUAUACGCUUACGCAUUAUUGAUUUCAUUGAAUAUAUUUACUAUCACAUGGCUCACAUUAAAAGGUUUUUACAAGUUUUUUUUUUUUUAUCAAAAAGGUUACAUAUUUAAUCAUACAUAUGUUUGUCACCCGCUAAACAUACAUGAUUGAAAUUGAAAUGCCUUUUAUAUAAACAUCUCCACUCUGUGUCAAAUCUCAAAGCUAAAAAUAAAACAGACACUUGAAAAAAGCACUGGAAGAUCAAAUUGACGCAAAGUGGGAUAGCAAUAAGCUAUGGCAAAGGCAGCAUUCAUGAUCACCGGAGUGAAGGUGGAGUUCAUUGAAUUUCCGGUAGUGGUGACACCUCCGUCGUCCACCAAGUCCUAUUUUCUCGGUGGUGCAGGUAUUUCUUUAAUAAUAAAUAAUAGUUGGAUCUACUUUCUUAUGUCGUUUUCACUGCUAGGAAAAUUAAAUUUAGAAAGAUUAGUAUUUAGUCACUAACGCUCAUAAAUUCUGUUACAAAAUACUUCAGUAACGAAAAAUCCGUAGUCAUUUUUGGCCUCACAACGGGUUAUGGAAUAAAUUCGUCACUAAUUAUGGCCAUCCGUCAUUAAAUGGUGAGCAGAAAAUUACAUCAUAAUUCAUACAUAACUAAUAUUUCCAUCACUGAUUACUUCAUGAAAAAGACUCUUCUCUAUAAAUUGUUCAAGUUUUUUUUUUUUAACAAUUCGUUAUUUAAUAGAGCUCGUGAUUAACUACUUAAAGUCAAUUGCUUGGUUACAAUACAAUUUAUUUAAGAGAAAUUCUAACAAGCACUCUUAAAAGUUUAGUACAAACUUUCUCUUUAAAAUUGUGUAUUUAAAAUAUUAAAACAUUAAAAACAACUUUUUAAACAUAAAAUUUAUCAACUAUUUACUUUUUUAAAUCUUUAACAAAUGUCAUAAGGGGUAUGUCAGGAAAAGCAUUAGCUUAAAAAGAAAGAUCAAUAAAAACGCUAGUUUAAAAUUCCCCAACUCCCUCUAACUAGUAGAUGAUCACUUUGUUGUUUAAGAUAUAACAUGUACAUCCAAACUAUUGAAAGUAAAAUUUAUUAGGUCUUCUUCCUUUGAAGAACUCAUAUGGUGUUUAGUUCAAUCACUUGCUACUAUGUGUUAGUCCAAACUCAUGAAAGUAAGAUUUAUCAGGUCUUCUUGGUAUAUAUGUAGGGGUGAGAGGGUUAGAUGUUGAUGGAGAGUUUGUGAAGUUCACUGGAUUAGGAGUUUACUUGGAAGAAAAGGCUGUAGCAUCACUCACUCUUAAGUGGAAGGGCAAGACUCCGUCUCAGCUCUUCGAAUCCCUUGAUUUCUACAGAGAUAUCAUCAAAGGUACGUAGCAACAUAUACUACUCUAUAAUGAUAAUAUACCUCUAAUAAUUUGUUUUUUUUUGUUCCAAAACAUUAUUGAUUUAGGAAACCAAAAUAUAAUUAAACAUGCUUUUCUAUUUAUACUUGCAAAAACUAAAAAUAUGUAUUGAAUGAAUUUGGCUUUUAUAAAAUAAAUUAUACUUCUACUUGUAUUUGCACAUAGCCACAUACUAUUCACUAGUAUAGAAAAGGAUUUUUACAUCGAGUGAAAAAGACUUUUCAUAUUGGAUAUCACCCGAUGUGAAGUAAGGUUUUUUAUGUUAGGUCCGCACCUUUUUACAUCAGAUAUGUAUUUAUACAUGGUGAAAAGUACUUUUACACAUCGGGUAUUUAUUAUCUUUCAUCAACUUUUGUAUAUGUUAAUAGAGCCAUGCUAUACGCAGCGAUAAUAUUUAUCAAGAAUGAAAAUAAGCCAAUCAAAAGCAGGCUUUGAGCGGAAAUCAGGGAGGUGCAUGCUAUUCAAACUGGAACCUUUUUAGACUCAUCCUCACCUUUUGUCUUAGAGUCUGUUCAUGACCCACCCUUUGAACCAAAUCAAUCUGCUGCUACUGAAAUCAUAAGCACAGAUUUACCUAGCUCUUCAACACAAAUCAUUCCUCAACCUUUAACUACAAAGAGAAAAAUAUGGAAAAUCCUAAAAUAGUGGAUGAGUAGCAUACAUGCCACAUGUAUCGUGAAACACUCGGGAAGCUUAUUUUCGCUUUAAAUAGCAUUUUUGAUGUUUAUAAUAAAUACUCAUUUGAGCAAUGUUAUAUAUCAAGAAAGAAUUUAUCAAGAAAGAGUUCCGAAAUUAAUGUUAACCAAUAAAAUCUCAGCCUGGCCAGAAAUCAUGGGUGGUAGGUGUUAUGUAUUUAUUUUUUAUUUUUUAUGAAACGUUAAUAAUUAAGACUGAAAUCUAAGGGUGAUUAUUCUGCUAUGUCAUUCUUGAAUCCAUCGCACUCAUUUAUUUAUGGGUGUGUUUAGGUCCCUUUGAGAAGUUUAUUCGAUGUACAAAGGUGAGAACACUAGAAGGUAGUGAAUAUGUGAGAAAGGUGUCAGAAAAUUGCAUUGCCCAUAUGAAAUUUGAAGGAACAUAUGGCGAUGCAGAAGAAAAAGCCAUUCAAGAACUUAGAGAAGCCUUCAAGGUUCAAUUUUUUCCACCAGGGGCUGGUGUUUUCUUCAGACAAUCACCAAAUGGAGCAUUAGGGGUUAGUAUCAUUAAUAUAACAAACUGCAUUGAUUUGAAUAUCCAUUUUAAUCAACACAUUUUGAUAUUUCAUUUUCUGCAAAUUAAUCACAGCUUAGAUUCUCCAAAGAUGAAACAAUACCGGAACAUGAGUAUGUUGUUAUAAACAACAAGCCACUUUCAGAGGCAGUGUUGGAGACCAUGAUUGGAGAAAUUCCUGUUUCCCCUGCUUUGAAAGAGAGUUUGGCUACAAGAUUUUAUGAGUUUAUGAAGAUUGACAACUUCAACAUUUGAAACUUAUAAUUAUAAGCAGUCGUCUUUGAUCUUGAAGGCGAGGUGAUCUUUGAUGCAAGAUAUAAUGGACACAUAGUCC
This 12314-nucleotide long non-coding RNA is filed under the name Medicago truncatula (barrel medic). Its description in RNAcentral is "long non-coding RNA (MTRU_LNC007924)". The record is from RNAcentral. Lineage: Eukaryota; Viridiplantae; Streptophyta; Magnoliopsida; Fabales; Fabaceae.